Molecule: long non-coding RNA, 213 nt
Organism: Sinocyclocheilus rhinocerous
Lineage: Eukaryota; Metazoa; Chordata; Actinopteri; Cypriniformes; Cyprinidae
Exons: 3
Source: RefSeq, a predicted model, not a curated record
AUAGCACAAAACUUACACCAAAAUAAUAACCGACCAGGACAGAACAGAAAUGGGGAGAAUUUAUACAAACGCAAGAGAGAGACCAAUGGCAUAAUAGAAUGAACACAGGUGAACAGAAUGAACUAAUCAGGGCAACCAAGGAAAACUAGGUCACAGGGAGCGAAGCAAAACACAAUUGAAACACAGAACAGGCAGACAUGUUACAGAAAAAGA